CUACGGGAGGCAGCAGUGAGGAAUCUUGCGCAAUGGGCGAAAGCCUGACGCAGCAACGCCGCGUGGGGGAUGAAGGCUCUCGGGUUGUAAACCCCUUUCAGCAGGGACGAAAUUGACGGUACCUGCAGAAGAAGCCCCGGCUAACUACGUGCCAGCAGCCGCGGUAACACGUAGGGGGCAAGCGUUGUCCGGAUUUAUUGGGCGUAAAGAGCUCGUAGGUGGCUAAGUAAGUCGGGUGUCAAAUCCCCAGGCUCAACCUGGGUCUCCACCCGAUACUGCUUUGGCUAGAGUCCGGUAGGGGAGCGUGGAAUUCCUGGUGUAGCGGUGAAAUGCGCAGAUAUCAGGAGGAACACCAGCGGCGAAGGCGGCGCUCUGGGCCGGUACUGACACUGAGGAGCGAAAGCGUGGGUAGCAAACAGGAUUAGAAACCCCAGUAGUCC
Molecule: ribosomal RNA, 440 nt
Filed under: uncultured bacterium
Lineage: Bacteria
Description: bacterial SSU rRNA
Rfam family: Bacterial small subunit ribosomal RNA
Source: RNAcentral